This 426-nucleotide ribosomal RNA is filed under the name uncultured beta proteobacterium. RNAcentral describes it as "bacterial SSU rRNA". It matches the Rfam family "Bacterial small subunit ribosomal RNA", at positions 356 to 774 of the family's 1533-position model. The record is from RNAcentral. Lineage: Bacteria; Pseudomonadati; Pseudomonadota; Betaproteobacteria.
GGGGAAUUUUGGACAAUGGGCGCAAGCCUGAUCCAGCAAUGCCGCGUGCAGGAAGAAGGCCUUCGGGUUGUAAACUGCUUUUGUACGGAACGAAACGGUCCUGGUUAAUACCUGGGGCUAAUGACGGUACCGUAAGAAUAAGCACCGGCUAACUACGUGCCAGCAGCCGCGGUAAUACGUAGGGUGCGAGCGUUAAUCGGGAUUACUGGGCGUAAAGCGUGCGCAGGCGGUGCUGUAAGACAGGCGUGAAAUCCCCGGGCUCAACCUGGGAAUUGCGCUUGUGACUGCAGUGCUGGAGUACGGCAGAGGGGGGUGGAAUUCCACGUGUAGCAGUGAAAUGCGUAGAGAUGUGGAGGAACACCAAUGGCGAAGGCAGCCCCCUGGGUCGAUACUGACGCUCAUGCACGAAAGCGUGGGGAGCAAACA